RNAcentral lists this ribosomal RNA (446 nucleotides) under uncultured bacterium. Its description in RNAcentral is "bacterial SSU rRNA". It matches the Rfam family "Bacterial small subunit ribosomal RNA", at positions 329 to 792 of the family's 1533-position model. The record is from RNAcentral.
GGCCAGACUCCUACGGGAGGCAGCAGUGGGGGAUAUUGCACAAUGGGGGGAACCCUGAUGCAGCGACGCCGCGUGGGUGAAGAAGCGCCUCGGCGCGUAAAGCCCUGUCAGCAGGGAAGAAAAUGACGGUACCUGAAGAAGAAGCCCCGGCUAACUACGUGCCAGCAGCCGCGGUAAUACGUAGGGGGCAAGCGUUAUCCGGAUUUACUGGGCGUAAAGGGAGCGUAGGCGGACUUUUAAGUGAGAUGUGAAAUACUCGGGCUCAACUUGAGUGCUGCAUUUCAAACUGGAAGUCUAGAGUGCAGGAGAGGAGAAUGGAAUUCCUAGUGUAGCGGUGAAAUGCGUAGAUAUUAGGAGGAACACCAGUGGCGAAGGCGGCCUGCUGGACAGUAACUGACGUUGAGGCUCGAAAGCGUGGGGAGCAAACAGGAUUAGAUACCCGUGUA